AAUCAACGCUGGCGGCGUGCCUCAGACAUGCAAGUCGAACGCGAAAGUCCCCUUCGGGGGAGUGAUUAGAGUGGCGCACGGGUGAGUAACACGUAGGUAAUCUACCUUCGAGGUGGGGAAUAACUCAGGGAAACUUGAGCUAAUACCGCAUAAUGCAGCGGCACCACAUGGUGACAGUUGUUAAAGCAUUUAUGCGCUUGAAGAGGAGCCUGCGGCGGAUAGCUAGUUGGUAAGGUAAUGGCUUACCAAGGCUACGAUCUGUAACCGGCCUGAGAGGGCGGACGGUCACACUGACACUGAAUAACGGGUCAGACUCCUACGGGAGGCAGCAGUCGGGAAUUUUGGGCAAUGGGCGAAAGCCUGACCCAGCAACGCCGC
This 378-nucleotide ribosomal RNA is filed under the name uncultured bacterium. Its description in RNAcentral is "bacterial SSU rRNA". It matches the Rfam family "Bacterial small subunit ribosomal RNA", at positions 32 to 400 of the family's 1533-position model. The record is from RNAcentral.